AUUCAUCGAUGACUACCUGCUGAGCAAUGAGGAGCUGGCACGGAGAGUGGAGCAGAGGGACCUAUGCGAGUGACCUUGAGUCAGGGUGUGGCUGAAGCACCUGUCCUAGGGAGCUUAAACUAAGGAGGAAAUGUCGUGUCCUCCCCCCCCCACACACACACACACACACUGUUGGGAGCAGCCCUCGGGUGGGGGUGAGGUUUGCCAAAUCUAGGACAGUUCCAGGCAGCAUUUUAGGGCAGAAUAUUCAUUUCCCUAAGCAAGUCUCCACUUCGGGUAGCACUGGAGGAGCCUAUGAAACUGAGGACAUGCCCUGGGUGGUGAGUUGUAGACCGAAGGCCUUCUUCACCUGCCUGGAGCCUCUCUCUCUAGACUCUUCCCAAAGCCUUUCAGAUAAGUAAAUACCAAAUUCAUUCCU
Molecule: long non-coding RNA, 418 nt
Filed under: Mus musculus (house mouse)
Lineage: Eukaryota; Metazoa; Chordata; Mammalia; Rodentia; Muridae
Description: long non-coding RNA chrX:133931393-133931811
Source: RNAcentral